Molecule: long non-coding RNA, 1621 nt
Organism: Saccostrea cuccullata (small rock oyster)
Lineage: Eukaryota; Metazoa; Mollusca; Bivalvia; Ostreida; Ostreidae
Exons: 4
Source: RefSeq, a predicted model, not a curated record
AUAUAAACAAUGAAAAUUAUUUUUAAUUUUAUAAAAGCUAUAAAUAAAUUUUUCCCUGCUUUUCCUGUGAAAAAAAAACGUAUUUUAGUAUUUAUUUAGAUUUUGUUAGAAUUAUCUCCCCUGUUGCGCUCUUCUGUAGAGAAGGUAGAUAAUGAUUAUGUGUACGAUGUUUAUAAACAGAUGUCUGUCAUCUAAUCGUUUUAGGCAUCAAUUAUGUGUGAUUUGAAGAAAAUUGUCCCUCCUGUGAAUGUAAUUUGUUACGUAUAUACUAGUGGCCUAUGUAUAAAAUGCAUAAAACAUGAUGAAAACCAUCGGGAUCAAAGUACGGUUCCAACCACGUGUAAACAUUAUGGCAUCCUGAGAUGUAUCUGAGACGUUUUGUUACCGUUUUGUUCGUCCCCAGAAAAAGAUUCAAGUGCGUGAAUUGUCAACGAGUCUUCGGAUUAUGGCUCUGAUUUUGAUGAAUAUGAUUCUGACAGCAAACAUUCAUUUGGUAGCAAGACGGAUGUAGUGAUGAUGAUACCGAAUCAACAAUGUUUGAAUUUGAAAAAGAAACAGAUAUUUAUGAAAUGUUAUAAAGAUCGGGCUACAGUUAUGAUUUUCGGCUUUUCAUAUAUGAUUAAAGGAAAAAAGAGUUGUCAAAUACUUGUACUUUUCAAAUUAAAGGUCACCAUGUGUUCCUUGACAGAUUAUUCAUAUUCAUUUCCCUGGUUAGGGCUGGGCUUUACAAUGGGAUUUUCAGCUGUGGAGCUAUAAAGAAUUACUACAUUCAGGUUUCCAAUGUAGUUUUGUGAACAGAAUCCAGAAUUAAGAAGAGGAAAGACAAUGCAGAUGCAGCAUUAGCAUUACCAAUUACUUAUCACUGCUGAGGAAAUGGUACCUGCUUUGAGUACUACUCUUGUGUAUUUGGAGACAGUCCAGUUGUUCUUUAAACCAGAAGUGGAAAUUUCAGUGCUUGUUAAAUUUUCUCCAGAAGUUAUUGGAUGAUACAUAGGAAGAAAAAUGGUGUCAUACUGAACAAAAUAGUUUGGAUACACCUUAUAGAUUUUGAAAGAUUGAGACCUCAAGAUCAACCCAAAUGAUAUUUAAUAUGUAUCAGGGUUCACUUGCAGGAAUACACAGAAAUUCAGAGUAAAUUUUUAGUGUUUGUUAUCUUAGAAAAGAUCAAAGUUCAAGGUCAGCAGUGCUUUAGUUUUACCAAAUAUAAAACUAUUAUAAAGACUAAUUUCCUGUAUACAGGUAUAGCAAAUAAUUCAGAAUAUGAUUUGGGGAAACCAUGAUUUUUUCUUUUAAAUCUUACCUUAAUUUAGAACCAUGAUGUACAAUGUAUACUUAAGCAAGUAGAUUUUUUUUUAAGCUUACAAAAUUUCAAGGUCAUUUUAAUUUCGGAAGUGAAUAUAAAAUAUCAGGAAGCAGUCAAGCAUUGUAAUUUAUUUGUUGUUGAAUGUACUUAGUUAUUGAGUAAUAUUCAAAUUUUAAUAUGCAAUGAAAUUAAAAAUUAUAAAAUAAUUAAUGUCCUAAUUUGUUGAUUUUUAAAACUUUGUGUUCAUUCAUUUUGAGGUUGUUGCCAUUACAAUACAUGUAUAUCUGUCAAGAAAAUAGCUCUGAUAUUCCUUUUUGU